Centrocercus urophasianus (Greater sage-grouse) is the source of this 2542-nucleotide long non-coding RNA. RefSeq lists it as uncharacterized. The record is from RefSeq and is a predicted model, not a curated record. NCBI's taxonomy places the organism in Eukaryota, Metazoa, Chordata, Aves, Galliformes, Phasianidae. The transcript is spliced from 3 exons.
UGGCCGGGAGCCUGUCGGAGGGGGGCCGUGCCCGCGCUGGAGCCUGCUGGCGGCUGGUGACAUUUAUUUUCUAAAUGCUGGGAUUAAGUUUGGCUUCUUAAUGUCAUAAUAGCAACAGAUCCAUAUCUCGCCUGCUCCUGAAGUGCAGGGUUGGUCUGUGCGUUGGUCCUGCUGGCACCUCCAUGGAAAAGGCAGAAUGAGAGAGAAGCAACAGGCCUCAACCAGUCUGGGAAAUAAAUAUUCCAUUAAAAUUGGGGAAAAAAAAAAACGGUGAGGAGGGUCUGCAACUGUACACAAAAUGCUCAAAGCUUGGCAACCUAGCGACGGAUAUUGGACGGAAUUCCACCUUUCUUCUCCUCCCCAGUGCCAUCUGCAGGCCUGCAGCAGGGUGUCCAUAAGCAGCACUGCACCUCAUCCAAAGACCCCAAAACCUUCAGAGAAUGAAUCAAGUACACCCUCAGCAAUUUGCUGAUGACACCAAGCUGAGUGGUGCGGUUGACACGGUGGAAGGAAGGGAUGCCAUUCAGAGGGACCUCAACAGACUUGACAGCGAAUGCGGAUGGGGAACCUCAACCGUCCAGGAAUCCUAGAGGUGAUCAUGGACUGGCCUGAAGGCACAAAGUUUGGAACAUCACCAGCAGAAGAGGUAUCAUGUGCUAGCUAACCAUACAGUGAACUAGCAGAAAAUGAAAAGAAAUUUGCCCUGUUCACAGACCGAUUGUAUCGUAUGGUAGAGAAGCAUUGCAGAUGGAAAGCUGGUGUGUGGAGCCCCACAUGACAAGCCACAUGACACUGAAGGAAAAGGAGAAUCAAGUGAGUUCACAGAGGUAAAGGCCAUCCAGCUGGCCUUAGAUGUUGCUGAAUGGGAGAGGUAGCCAGUGAUUUAUCUUUACACUGACUCGUGGAUGGUGGCAAAUGCCUUAUGGGGGUGGUUACAGCAGUGGGAACAAAACAACUGGCAAUGGAAAGGUAAACCUAUUUGGGCUGCUGAACUGUAGAAAAAUAUUGCUGCCCAAACAAAAAAUAUGGUUACAAAGGUGCGUCACACAGAUGCCCGUGUGUCCAAAGUAGAGCUACUGAAGAUCAGCAAAAUAGCCAUCAGGUAGUUCGAGCUGCCAGAAUUGAGGUGGCUUAAAUAGACCUGGACUGGCAGAACAAGGAAGAAUUAUUUCUAGCUCAGUAGGUCCACAAGAGCUGAGGCCAUCAAGGAAGAUACAUGACAUAUAAGUGGGCCAGAGACUGUGGACUUAACCCGACAGAGGGGUGGACUUAACUAUGGAUGCAAUUGCACAAGUUGUUCAUGUCUGCAACACGUGCCAUAAUUAAACAAGCCAAGAGGAUGAAACCUCUCUGGGGGGAAAGGGUGAUGGCAAAACUACAAAUAUGGGAAAGCAUAGCAGGUUGAUUGUAUCAUCUUGCCACGAUCUCACAGUGUAAGUGUUACGUGCUCACCAUGGUAGAGACAACCACUCAGUUACUUGAAACAUAUGCAGUACCCCAUGCUACCACCCGAGACACAAUAUUAGAUCUGGAGAAGCAAAUCUUGUGGUGACAUGGCACCCCAGAAAGAAUUGAAUCAGAUAAUGGGAUCCAUUUCAAAAUUUCACGUGUGGAUAUUUGGGCCAGAGAACAUGGUAUUGAGUGGAUUUAUCAUAUCCCCUACCAUGCACCAGCCUCUGGUAAGAUCAAAUGCUACAACAGGUUGUUAAAAACCAUGUUGAAAGCAAUGGGUGGUGGAACAUUAAAGCAUCGGGAGAAGCAUUCAGCAGAAGUCACCUGGUUGGUCAAUACUAGAAGAUCAGUCCUACCCACUCCAGCUUCCUACAUACUGUAGAGGGAGAUAAGGUCCCUAUGGUACGUGUAAAAAGCACAUUGGGAAAAGCAGUCUGGGUCCUUCCAGCUUCUGGAAAGGGCAAACCCCUCUGUGGAACUGUUUUUGCACAGGGACCUGGGCACACUUGGUGGGUGAUGGAGAAAAAUGGGAAUGUCCAGUGUGUACCACAAGGGAAUUUGAUGCUGGGGGAGUAGUCAGUGAUUCCACAUGUACAUUUGUAUAUAGACAUGUGCAUAUGUAACGCAUGUUAAUUAUUUCUUUGUUUGUAUAUAGGUAUUUGUUAAGCGUGAUGUGGUGAUCUGGAAUAAGGGGUGGAAUGUUGUGGUUUUGUGAUUUUUUACUGUCGGUAUUCCACAUCAGAACAUCGUGUGAACCAGCGGGAGUAAAAGAGUUCAUGUUCUGGUUCCAUUUACUGCCUCUUAAGGGCAUUUCAAGUAUUCUGAUUGGAGGGGCGGCAUUCCUGGAGGACUCCUGGAGGCGCGAAGAGGAAGAUGGGUGGAGCUCCGGACAGGACCCCGUGCUUCUUUCCCCCUCAGGCCCAGCUCACUCUCGGUUUGCGAUAGAGAAAAGCAUAUAUUUCUUUGCAGUCUACUAGAGUAAGACUACUUCAUCUACUAUCUCAUACUUUGGAUGCUCUUGUCUCUCAUUUCGUUCAAUUUGGUUAAAUUUAGUAAAUUAACGUUCCUUCCCGUUACCGGGAGGCAACCA